Molecule: ribosomal RNA, 478 nt
Filed under: uncultured bacterium
Lineage: Bacteria
Description: bacterial SSU rRNA
Rfam family: Bacterial small subunit ribosomal RNA
Source: RNAcentral
ACGCUAUCACUCCUACGGGGAGCAUGGCAGAUUGGGGAAUAUUGCACAAUGGGGGGAAACCCUGAUGCAGCCAUGCCGCGUGUGUGAAGAAGGCCUUCGGGUUGUAAAGCACUUUCAGUAGGGAGGAAGGUAGUGUAGUUAACACCUGCAUUAUUUGACGUUACCUACAGAAGAAGCACCGGCUAACUCCGUGCCAGCAGCCGCGGUAAUACGGAGGGUGCGAGCGUUAAUCGGAAUUACUGGGCGUAAAGCGCAUGCAGGUGGUUUGUUAAGUCAGAUGUGAAAGCCCGGGGCUCAACCUCGGAAUUGCAUUUGAAACUGGCAGACUAGAGUACUGUAGAGGGGGGUAGAAUUUCAGGUGUAGCGGUGAAAUGCGUAGAGAUCUGAAGGAAUACCGGUGGCGAAGGCGGCCCCUGGACAGAUACUGACACUCAGAUGCGAAAGCGUGGGGAGCAAACAGGAUUAGAUACCCUGGUAG